AUGGGGUAUCCAUAUUAAACAAAGGCACUGAUACCAGACACAUUACUGUUGUGAAGGUGUAAAUGUCUGCUGUGAAGGUGUGAGAGUGUUGUGAAGGUGUAAAUGUCUGCUGUGAAGGUGUGAGAGUGUUGUGAAGAUGUAAAUGUCUACUGUGAAGGUGUGAGAGUGUUGUGAAGGUGUAAAUGUCUGCUGUGAAGGUGUGAGAGUGUUGUGAAGGUGUAAAUGUCUGCUGUGAAGGUGUGAGAGUGUUGUGAAGGUGUAAAUGUCUGCUGUGAAGGUGUGAGAGUGUUUUGAAGGUGUAAAUGUCUGUUGUGAAGAUGUAAAUGUUUGCUGUGAAAGUCUGUUGUGAAGGUGUGAGAGUCUGUUGUGAAGGUGUGAGAGUCUGUUGUGAAGGUGUCAGUGUCUGUUGUGAAGGUGUGAGAGUUUGUUGUGUGGGUGUGAGAGUCUGUUGUUAAGGUGUGAGAGUCUGUUGUGAAGGUGUGAGAGUCUGUUGUGAAGGUGUGAGAGUCUGUUGUGAAGGUGUAAGAGUAUUGUAAAGGUGUGAUAGUCUGCUGUAAAGGUGUGAUAGUCUGUUGUGUGGGUGUAGGU
Molecule: long non-coding RNA, 588 nt
Organism: Haliotis rubra (blacklip abalone)
Lineage: Eukaryota; Metazoa; Mollusca; Gastropoda; Lepetellida; Haliotidae
Exons: 4
Source: RefSeq, a predicted model, not a curated record